CUAACAGGAUUCCCCUAGUAACUGCGAGUGAAGCGGGAAAAGCUCAAAUUUAAAAUCUGGCAGUCUUUGGCUGUCCGAGUUGUAAUCUAGAGAAGUAUUAUCCGCGCUGGACCGUGUACAAGUCUCCUGGAAUGGAGCGUCAUAGAGGGUGAGAAUCCCGUCUUUGACACGGACUGCCAGGGCUUUGUGAUAUGCUCUCAAAGAGUCGAGUUGUUUGGGAAUGCAGCUCAAAAUGGGUGGUAAAUUCCAUCUAAAGCUAAAUAUUGGCGAGAGACCGAUAGCGAACAAGUACCGUGAGGGAAAGAUGAAAAGAACUUUGGAAAGAGAGUUAAACAGUACGUGAAAUUGCUGAAAGGGAAACGCUUGAAGUCAGUCGCGUUGGCCAGGGAUCAACCUUGCUUUUUUGCUUGGCUUAUYUUCUGGUCAAUGGGUCAGCAUCAAUUUUGACUGGUGGAAAAAGUUCAAGGGAAUGUGGCAUCUUCKGAUGUGUUAUAGCCUUUGUUCAUAUGCMAUUGGUUGGGAUUGAGGAACUCAGCACGCCGAAAGGCCGGGUUUUUAACCACGUACGUGCUUAGGAUGCUGGCAUAAUGGCUUUAAUCGACCCGUCUUGAAACACGGACCAAGGAGUCUAACAUGCCUGCGAGUGUUUGGGUGAAAAACCCGAGCGCGUAAUGAAAGUGAAAGUUGAGAUCCCUGUCGURGGGAGCAUUGACGCCCGGAUCUGACCUUUUGUGACGAUUCUGCGGUAGAGCAUGUAUGUUGGGACCCGAAAGAUGGUGAACUAUGCCUGAAUAGGGUGAAGCCAGAGGAAACUCUGGUGGAGGCUCGUAGCGAUUCUGACGUGCAAAUCGAUCGUCAAAUUUGGGUAUAGGGGCGAAA
RNAcentral lists this ribosomal RNA (879 nucleotides) under Laccaria versiforma. RNAcentral describes it as "LSU rRNA". It matches the Rfam family "Eukaryotic large subunit ribosomal RNA", at positions 65 to 928 of the family's 3401-position model. The record is from RNAcentral. Lineage: Eukaryota; Fungi; Basidiomycota; Agaricomycetes; Agaricales; Hydnangiaceae.